Molecule: ribosomal RNA, 725 nt
Filed under: uncultured bacterium
Lineage: Bacteria
Description: bacterial SSU rRNA
Rfam family: Bacterial small subunit ribosomal RNA
Source: RNAcentral
AGAGUUUGAUCAUGGCUCAGAACGAACGCUGGCGGCAGGCCUAACACAUGCAAGUCGAGCGCACUCUUCGGAGUGAGCGGCGGACGGGUUAGUAACGCGUGGGAACGUACCCAGAUCUACGGAAUAGCCUCGGGAAACUGAGAGUAAUACCGUAUACGCCCUUCGGGGGAAAGAUUUAUCGGAUUUGGAUCGGCCCGCGUUAGAUUAGAUAGUUGGUGAGGUAACGGCUCACCAAGUCUACGAUCUAUAGCUGGUUUUAGAGGAUGAUCAGCAACACUGGGACUGAGACACGGCCCAGACUCCUACGGGAGGCAGCAGUGGGGAAUCUUGGACAAUGGGCGCAAGCCUGAUCCAGCCAUGCCGCGUGAGUGAUGAAGGCCUUAGGGUCGUAAAGCUCUUUCGCCAGAGAUGAUAAUGACAGUAUCUGGUAAAGAAACCCCGGCUAACUCCGUGCCAGCAGCCGCGGUAAUACGGAGGGGGUUAGCGUUGUUCGGAAUUACUGGGCGUAAAGCGCGCGUAGGCGGACCAGAAAGUUAGGGGUGAAAUCCCGGGGCUCAACCCCGGAACUGCCUCUAAAACUCCUGAUCUAGAGUUCGAGAGAGGUGAGUGGAAUUCCGAGUGUAGAGGUGAAAUUCGUAGAUAUUCGGAGGAACACCAGUGACGAAGGCGGCUCACUGGCUCGAUACUGACGCUGAGGUGCGAAAGUGUGGGGAGCAAACAGGAUU